This 475-nucleotide ribosomal RNA is filed under the name uncultured bacterium. RNAcentral's name for it is "SSU rRNA". It matches the Rfam family "Bacterial small subunit ribosomal RNA", at positions 26 to 518 of the family's 1533-position model. The record is from RNAcentral.
AGGACGAACGCUGGCGGCGCGCUUAACACAUGCAAGUCGAGCGAGAACCCACCUUCGGGUGGGGGAAAGCGGCGAACGGGUGAGUAACACGUGGGCAACCCACCCUUGGUAUCGGGAUAGCCCGGGGAAACCCGGAUUAAUACCGGAUGGCCCAGCUGCUCUUCGGGGCGGUUGGAAAAGGUAGCUUCGGCCUCCGACCAAGGACGGGCCCGCGGCGGAUUAGCUUGUUGGUGGGGUAAUGGCCUACCAAGGCGACGAUCCGUAGCUGGUCUGAGAGGACGAUCAGCCACACUGGGACUGAGACACGGCCCAGCCUUCAUUAGGCAGCAGUGUGGAAUCUUGGACAAUGAACGAAAGUUUGAUCUAGUAAUACCGCGUGAGUGAUGAAGGUCCUAACCGUAAAGCUCUUUCGUUAGGUAAGAAAAUGACAGAAAUCUAAAGAAGAAGUCCCGACUAACUUCGUGCCAGCAGCCGC